This is a non-coding RNA of Anolis sagrei ordinatus, 707 nucleotides long. NCBI's taxonomy places the organism in Eukaryota, Metazoa, Chordata, Lepidosauria, Squamata, Anolidae. The record is from RefSeq and is a predicted model, not a curated record.
CUUGUUUUUUGAGGGAAUGGGGGUGGAACAAUAAUCUUUUCAGCUGUGACUGGUGGUGUGGAAUCGGGCAGCUCUUGGAAGUAGGAGUUUUUCAGUCUUCCAAAAUGUCAGAAAAAGUUCGUUUGCUCUCAAGAGGAGCCCAUGGCCUGAUGGAUUCCAGCAAAAGGCAGGGGAAAAAACUGACCUGAAUAGAUUAGGCUUUUCUGCUAAGGAGACAAAUUUCCUUCUCCUCGCUGUGGAGUCCUUGGCAGCAGACUCUAAAACUUAAGCCAGAGAACUGCUAUCAAAUUCAGUGGAUGCUGCAAGGGAAUUUGGAACUACAGCCAAGCAAUAGUAAAGGGUGCUUCUAUAAACACCUAAUGUAAUUUUGCAUCAAGUUGCAUCUGCCAUUUUUUAAGGGGGUGGGGUAGUUUCUUGAAAUCCCAUCAACUUAGUUUCAUUUUGAGGGUGGGGAAUCUUUGGACCUCUGGAUGCUUUGGCCUUCAGCUGCCAUCAACUCCACUCAUUCAACGUAACCAAUGGUAUCUGUGAAUCACAGGAUGAACUGUCUGGAGGGACACAGAAUCUCUGAACUUUGAUCAUUAUGGUGGUCAAAGUUAGAGAACCAUAACAUUGAAGGAGAUCACAAGGGCCACCUGGUCCUUUCAUUAUCUCAAGCUGAAGUUCUGCUCGGUCAGAAGAUGAAGCAGACAUAGAAUUGGUGCAAA